Molecule: long non-coding RNA, 827 nt
Organism: Sinocyclocheilus grahami
Lineage: Eukaryota; Metazoa; Chordata; Actinopteri; Cypriniformes; Cyprinidae
Source: Ensembl
GAUUUGUGGAACACAUUUGAAAUGCAGAUCAUCUCAUGCUGUACCAUCCUUUUUAUUUUAUUAUUAAAUAUGUUGUGUACAGGUAUACAGCUUAUAUUGCGAUUUCCUAACAUUUUACAUUUAACUUAAACUUUUAAACUUUAAAUUUAAAUUAAAUAAAAAUAUAUGUUUAAAAAUGUGCUUAUUCAAGGUAAAGAAAACAAAGAUGGGAACAUCAUCUUCGAUCCACCAGAAGUUACUGCAGUUUCAGGAUUAUGUGCUCUCAUUUCAUGUACCUUCACUCAAGGUAAAACUCAACUUCAAACUGUUCAGUGGAAAGUGUGUAAUAAACCAAGUGAAUGUAAGACAAUAUUUGAGAUGCCAAACCGUAGAAGAAAGCAAAGUGAAACGGAACAGAUUAAGUGGCUUGAACCUGACCUGAGCAAAAACAACUGCAGCAGCAUCAUCAAAGAAAUAAAGGAAGAUGAAAGAGAAUAUGCUUUCACAAUUGUGGGGCAUGGCCAAAAUUCACAUAACUCCAAUGUCAAAAUCAUCAUCCAAGAUGAGCCUAUAAUGUACGUUCCUCUUCUCAGUGAAGGAGAGGAGGCCAAUCUGACAUGUCCAGCUCCUUUUCCUUGUCCUGAAACUCCUCCUGAAAUAACAUGGUGGAUCAAGACAAGAGAGGGAAACAUCAUUGAUCUAAAGGACAACAUCAUCACACUGAUCACCUCCAAAAUCCUUUACCUCUCAACUUUGACAUUAACUCCAACCUCUGACCUGCACAAUGCCACUGUAGGAUGUGACGUCAGCUACGGAAGCAAAAACAUCAGUACGAGUGGGACCCUCGA